RNAcentral lists this ribosomal RNA (253 nucleotides) under uncultured bacterium. Its description in RNAcentral is "partial 16S ribosomal RNA". It matches the Rfam family "Bacterial small subunit ribosomal RNA", at positions 524 to 776 of the family's 1533-position model. The record is from RNAcentral.
GACAGAGGGUGCAAACGUUGUUCGGAAUUACUGGGCGUAAAGCGAGUGUAGGCGGUUUGGUAAGUCGGAUGUGAAAGCCCUGGGCUCAACCCAGGAAGUGCACUCGAUACUGCCAAGCUAGAGUAUCGGAGAGGUUGGUGGAAUUCUCGGUGUAGAGGUGAAAUUCGUAGAUAUCGAGAGGAACACCGGUGGCGAAGGCGGCCAACUGGACGAAUACUGACGCUGAGACUCGAAAGCGUGGGGAGCAAACAGG